Molecule: transfer RNA, 88 nt
Filed under: Actinomycetota bacterium
Lineage: Bacteria; Bacillati; Actinomycetota
Description: Actinobacteria bacterium (freshwater metagenome) tRNA-Leu
Rfam family: tRNA
About the family: Transfer RNA (tRNA) molecules are approximately 80 nucleotides in length.
Source: RNAcentral
GCCCGGAUGGCGGAACGGCAGACGCGAGCGGCUUAAACCCGCUUAUCCCCUCGGGGGUGUGCAGGUUCAAAUCCUGCUCCGGGCACGA